Molecule: ribosomal RNA, 1371 nt
Filed under: uncultured bacterium
Lineage: Bacteria
Description: bacterial SSU rRNA
Rfam family: Bacterial small subunit ribosomal RNA
Source: RNAcentral
GAUGAACGCUGGCGGCGUGCCUAAUACGUGCAAGUCGAGCGAACGGACGAGAAGCUUGCUUCUCUGAUGUUAGCGGCGGACGGGUGAGUAACACGUGGAUAACCUACCUAUAAGACUGGGAUAACUUCGGGAAACCGGAGCUAAUACCGGAUAAUAUUUUGAACCGCAUGGUUCAAAAGUGAAAGACGGUCUUGCUGUCACUUAUAGAUGGAUCCGCGCUGCAUUAGCUAGUUGGUAAGGUAACGGCUUACCAAGGCAACGAUGCAUAGCCGACCUGAGAGGGUGAUCGGCCACACUGGAACUGAGACACGGUCCAGACUCCUACGGGAGGCAGCAGUAGGGAAUCUUCCGCAAUGGGCGAAAGCCUGACGGAGCAACGCCGCGUGAGUGAUGAAGGUCUUCGGAUCGUAAAACUCUGUUAUUAGGGAAGAACAUAUGUGUAAGUAACUGUGCACAUCUUGACGGUACCUAAUCAGAAAGCCACGGCUAACUACGUGCCAGCAGCCGCGGGUAUACGUAGGUGGCAAGCGUUAUCCGGAAAUAUUGGGCGUAAAGCGCGCGUAGGCGGUUUUUUAGUCUGAUGUGAAAGCCCACGGCUCAACCGUGGAGGGUCAUUGGAAACUGGAAAACUUGAGUGCAGAAGAGGAAAGUGGAAUUCCAUGUGUAGCGGUGAAAUGCGCAGAGAUAUGGAGGAACACCAGUGGCGAAGGCGACUUUCUGGUCUGUAACUGACGCUGAUGUGCGAAAGCGUGGGGAUCAAACAGGAUUAGAUACCCUGGUAGUCCACGCCGUAAACGAUGAGUGCUAAGUGUUAGGGGGUUUCCGCCCCUUAGUGCUGCAGCUAACGCAUUAAGCACUCCGCCUGGGGAGUACGACCGCAAGGUUGAAACUCAAAGGAAUUGACGGGGACCCGCACAAGCGGUGGAGCAUGUGGUUUAAUUCGAAGCAACGCGAAGAACCUUACCAAAUCUUGACAUCCUUUGACAACUCUAGAGAUAGAGCCUUCCCCUUCGGGGGACAAAGUGACAGGUGGUGCAUGGUUGUCGUCAGCUCGUGUCGUGAGAUGUUGGGUUAAGUCCCGCAACGAGCGCAACCCUUAAGCUUAGUUGCCAUCAUUAAGUUGGGCACUCUAAGUUGACUGCCGGUGACAAACCGGAGGAAGGUGGGGAUGACGUCAAAUCAUCAUGCCCCUUAUGAUUUGGGCUACACACGUGCUACAAUGGACAAUACAAAGGGCAGCGAAACCGCGAGGUCAAGCAAAUCCCAUAAAGUUGUUCUCAGUUCGGAUUGUAGUCUGCAACUCGACUACAUGAAGCUGGAAUCACUAGUAAUCGUAGAUCAGCAUGCUACGGUGAAUACGUUCCCGGGUCU